This 458-nucleotide ribosomal RNA is filed under the name uncultured bacterium. RNAcentral's name for it is "partial 16S ribosomal RNA". It matches the Rfam family "Bacterial small subunit ribosomal RNA", at positions 338 to 795 of the family's 1533-position model. The record is from RNAcentral.
CCUACGGGAGGCAGCAGUGAGGAAUAUUGGUCAAUGGGCGAGAGCCUGAACCAGCCAAGUAGCGUGAAGGAUGACUGCCCUACGGUUGGUAAACUUCUUUUAUAAAGGAAUAAAGUGAGGCAAGUGAGCCUUAUUGUACGUACUUUAUCAAUAAGGAUCGGCUAACUCCGUGUCAGCAGCCGCGUUAAUACGGAGGAUCCGAGCGUUAUCCGGAUUUAUUGGGUGUAAAGGGAGCGUAUGGGUUGUUAAGUCAGUUGUGAAAGUUUGCGGCUCAACCGUAAAAUUGCAAUUGAUACUGGCAGCCUUGAGUACAGUUGAGGUAGGCGGAAUUCGUGGUGUAGCGGUGAAAUGCUUAGAUAGCACGAAGAACGCCGAUUGCGAAGGCAGCUUACUAAACUGCCACUGACAUUGAUGCUCGAAAGUGUGGGUAUCAAACAGGAUUAGAUACCCGGGUAGUC